This 465-nucleotide ribosomal RNA is filed under the name uncultured bacterium. Its description in RNAcentral is "partial 16S ribosomal RNA". It matches the Rfam family "Bacterial small subunit ribosomal RNA", at positions 28 to 507 of the family's 1533-position model. The record is from RNAcentral.
GACGAACGCUGGCGGCGUGCUUAACACAUGCAAGUCGUACGGUAAGGCCCUUUCGGGGGUCCACGAGUGGCGAACGGGUGAGUAACACGUGAGUAACCUGCCCACAACUUUGGGAUAACGCUAGGAAACUGGUGCUAAUACUGGAUAUGUGCUCCUGCUGCAUGGUGGGGGCUGGUAAGCUCCGUCGGUUGUGGAUGGACUCGCGGCCUAUCAGCUUGUUGGUGGGGUAGUGGCCUACCAAGGCGGCGACGGGUAGCCGGCCUGAGAGGGUGACCGGCCACAUUGGCACUGAGAGACGGCCGAGACUCCUACGGGGGGCCGAAGUGGGGAAUAUUGCACGAGGGGCGCUAACCAGAUGCAGCACCGCCGCGUGCGGGAUGACGGCCUUCGGGUUGUAAAACGCUUUCAGCAGGGACGAAGCUUUUUGUGACGGUACCUGCAGAAGAAGCACCGGCUAACUACGUG